Molecule: ribosomal RNA, 116 nt
Filed under: Pteropus alecto (black flying fox)
Lineage: Eukaryota; Metazoa; Chordata; Mammalia; Chiroptera; Pteropodidae
Source: RNAcentral
GUCUGCGACCAAUACACCUUGAACACGCCGGAUGUCUGAGCUCGGAAGCUGAGCAGGGUCGGACCUGGUUAGGACUUGGAUGGGAGACCCCCUAGGAAGACCGGGUGCUGUAGGCA